GAUUUUUGUUUUGAAAAUUUUCUUGGAUAAAGAAAGAAGGUUCGAGAAGCCUGAAGAUAUAUAUAAGGUGAGGUCAUUUCUGGUUGAGAGAGGUUUUCUGGAGAGAUUUCUUCUAAAGAAAACUGAAGGAAAAAUCAGUGUUGAAAGUGCUUCUUUUUUUUUUUUCUAUUGUUUGUAUUUAUUCUUUUUUUUAUAACAGAACGGAACAAAAAUAUUAUGGAGGUUCCAUGAUUUCAUUUGAUGUCAGUUUAUUUAGCAUUUCGAAAUAGUAGAGUUCUUUUACUUCGAUUCUGGUUUUUUGGAUAAACAAUGGAAUUCGUUGAAAGUGUGAAUCGGUUGCUGUUGAUUGGGUUGUAGCUGCUUCCUUUUAUGUUCUGUUGUGGAUCAUUUUUCAGAAAUCAGAGAUCCGUUUUUGUUUUCUUUUGCUGUAUUGCUCUUCAAAAGUUUCCACUUCUUCUGAUUUUAAUGGAAAUUGGUUCAACUCUGCCUAUAUGUUGUUUGUUUGAGUGAUCGAGCUGCCGAUAGAGGUCUGUUCAUGGCUGCUUGUCGUGUUGCAUUUGGUUGAUGUUUACCUCAUUUUUCACAGCUGGAUUCAUUUAUAUUUGAUUUCAAACAAAAUUAAUCAAGCUUCGUGCAAUCAGGUUCAAUCUCCUCUUUUCUUUCAUCUAUUUAGAUGUCGAUUGAAAAUAUAGUAAGAGCCAUGAGAAUCCAUCUAUAGACAUAGGUCUGUGAUUAAUUUCAGUAGAGGUUGAAUUUUGAGUUAGCAUUUAGUCUCUAUUUGUGUUUGGAAAUGAUAUUUGACAUGUUGUUUUGUUGUUUGAAUCCCGUACUCACUGUUCUGGUUUGUUUGAGCAUGCUCAGUUAUCCAAAAAUAAUUUGAAUGGUCGUUUUCUAUGCCUCGAAUGUGUUUUAGCUGUUAUUAUGGUGUUGAAAUAUCUCGUGGGUUAAGAUUUUCUCGAGUUGAAAUGGAUAAUCUGUUCGGCUUUAUGAUUGUUGAAUGAGUCGGAAUCAUCAAUGCAUAUUCUGAUGGUUUUCUAUUUGGUUCUCUGAUUUUCCAGUACAAGUACCUUUUAAUGUUAAAAUACUUAGUUCAUAAUCAAAUUGGUAGAGUCGUAUGCAUGAUUGUCAAUGUUUCAACUGGUUUGUUUUCCUCUGAAAAUACACAGCAGCUUGUUCUUGGUUUCUUCAUUUAUUAAAUGUUGAUCAUAUUGCAUUAAGGAACUGAAAUAGAAGAUCUAAGUUAAGGAACUGAAAUGAUCUGAUUGAGAGGUUUAAUGGGCUGAAGAAUUGCUUUUACGUGCGGUAGAGUUAGCAUAGUAUUAUGAAGUUCCAGUUAUAUGAUUCAAAAUUAGUACUUCUGAUGAGUUCUUUAAAGCUUAAUAUCAAAUAGCAUUUGCUUCAAUUCUAGUCAUUUGGCAAUUUUGGUUGUUGUUUUCGACUGAUACACUGGAUCUUUGAAUUAUGGGUAAAGUCAUUAGAUUCUGGGCCAUUCCAUGGGAAUUAUAGUCCAAAGUUUCUACUAUUUUGGAGAGAUUCAUUGGUAGCUUUGCAUAUUAUUUUACUCUAGAAAGAAUUAAUGGAGGAGUUGUCUUCAGUUGUUGCCGUUACACUCAGCUUAAGCAUCUCUAUCUGUGAUAACCCUGCAAUUUCGAACAAUAUGGAAAUCACAAGGCUCAAAUUAGUGAAUGACACAGCUAUUCUAUGCCCUUAAUGUCAUAAGUUUGAUGUGAGUUAUGUAAGUUGGUUGUUAAUGUUGGAAUUGGAAGUUUGCUACAGUUUAUUUUAGAAGCGCCAACUUAUGGAUUGAAAUCCUGAUUGCUAAAUGGCUAAACUAUUGGUAAUUGCUACAUACCGGCCAACAGAUAGUGUUCUCAAGCUGUGGAUCAAUUGUUCAAGCAAUUAUGUUGUCUUUGGUAAUAGAUGAAAUGUGUGUCUUGAUUUAUUCAAUCUUAAUGGGUAUUGAGUGCUAUAAUUUAGAUUAAACCCGAACAUCCGUAGUUUUCUUUAGUUGAGUACGAAUCUUUUUGGAAUUAGUGGAGGCGAGCCAUAUUUAAUAACACAAAUAGCUUAUGGACUUUCGAAGUUUAGCUUUGGAUAUCAUUUAGAAAUUAGAAUCGGGGUGUGUCAUGCCGAAUAAAAUCUCAAAAUGCAUGGCCCUCAGUUAAUUAAUAUUUUAAUCCAUUUAGCAACUUUUUCAUGGCCCUCCCAAAGUUAAAAGUUCGUAGUUGCUUUAGGUAUGUUAUUUUAAUUAUUAAUUUCCUUAAACGCGGAUGUACAUUUUAUGUGAUCCAAAUACAAAUCCUAACAACGUUACAUAAAAUGUCGCGGAUCGUGGGUGCAUUUCAUGUGGCGUGAUCCAAAGACGUGUUUUGUAUAACGUUGAAAUCUUCCUGAAAACUAAUUGAAAGCGAUUUAAAGUUAAAAUGUGCACAGACUUAAAAGUGUUUUAAAAUCAGAUAAAUAGACCAAUUAUAACAGUUGAGCGACCGUGAUAGAACCGCAGAAUCCGGGAAUGCCUAACAUCUUCUCCCGGAUUAACAAAAUUCCUUAUCUGGAUUUUUUUGUUUGCGGACGGUAAAAUAGAGUCAAUCUUUUCCUCUAUUCGGGAUUUGAACCGGUGAUUUGGGAUACCAUAAAAUUAUCUCAAGUGGCAAACUCUGAAUCUUUAAAUGAAAUAAUCCCGUUUUGAUUCACUUUUUUAAGUUGAGAAAACUCCCUUAAUACCCUUCCUAGUAGGAAAAAGGAGGUGUGACAUAGUUAUAAUUGGUGAUCGUUGUUUUUCUGUGAAUUGAGAAUCUGUUGGGAAAAUGAGAGAUUACUGUCCAAAGACAUCCAUUUUCAUUGAAGUUUAGUGUAAAUAGGGCCUGUAUCUGGAUUUGUAUUGAGUACAAUCGUAAUUUACAUGAUGAGCAUUAAUAUAUAGAGAAUUUUUCACAAAGCACCAUAUUUUAGUCCUAAUUAGUCAUUAAUAGAAACCCUUUGCUAUAUUACGUCCUAUUGAUACCUUUUAAAUGUAUUUAACGUAUUUAAGGAAUAGUAUUUAAUAAUACAUCACAAAACAUCGGCGUACAAACAAGAAGACAGCUAAUUAUAGAUAUGUAAUUACAUUUAUUCAAGCGCUAUUAACGCUUGAAUACUUAACGGAUCUGCGCAAGAUAUGGAACGAUAAAGCUUUUAAAAACGGAAGGGAAUCAAAUCAAUUUUGACUUCCCUAAUUUUACUCAACAAACACAUACCCCAUGAAUCUAUAUUAUUCUAAAAUUAAGAAACCUAGAAAGAAGCGAAAAAACAGAGCAAGAGGCAUCAAUAUUGUGCGAUUUUCUUCUCCUUCUUAUAGAUUGAUACAAUACAAAAAAUUUCUAUACAAAAGACUGUAUAACUCUUCUAUACAGAUGGCAAGCUUAAUAGUUUUGUUGCGUCAUUCUGGAAAGUGGAACGAUGAGGGGAAUUAUAUCGAUUUUUCCAUUGAGGGAAUCCUGAUUAAGGAGUAUGCUUCAUUUAAUGAUCUAGUUGCUUCAAUUUUCAAUCAACUGGGUAUAGAUUUUGAGCACAAAUACCAUUAAAAUUCAAUACAAUGUUGAAGAAAAUCGCACGCCAAUGAAAAUACACAAUGAUAUGGGUUACAGAGUGUAUGUAGAAUUAAAGAAAAACAACAGAGAAUUUGGGAUGUAUCCUUUGUGCAUAACAACUAUGAUAUAUUGAAUUGAAGAAAGACAACACAGAAUUUGUGAUGUAUCCUUUGUGCAUAACAACUAUGGAAAAUGAGCUUAUCUCCGGCGAUGGUUUAAAUCAAGGCGACAUGGUGCAGAUAGCCGGAGCAGUUCAAAGGUACGAUUCGGAUACAGAUGAUACACUGGCUAUAGAAAUUGCCAAUUCAGGAGAAGCUAUUGGAGUGUUCGAACUCCACAAGGAUUUGAUAAUUUCAAAAACUGAUCAAAAGGAGGUUAUGGCUGGACAAGUUUAUAAGGAUAAGGCUACAUUGAAAGAGGUCAUGGAGAAUUAUGUUAUAGCUCAAAGGUUUCAAUUCCGGAUUGAUCGGUCUACGGCUACAUUGAAAGAGGUCAUGGAGAUUAUGCUAUAGCUCAAAGAUUUCAAUUCCGGGUUGAUCGGUCUAAUGCUGUCAGGUUGGAUGUUUAUUUAACUUUGUUGUAUUUAGUUGUAUUUGAGUGUUACCUCACGAUGAUGAACAAGAAUGACAAUUUAUAUUUGAUUAGUAUUCAUAAUUAUAUGUAUUCAAAUGUAUUUAACUAUUGGGAAAAUUACAACAGUAGCUAUAAUUAUUUAUGAAUUAUAACUACUAUUCUGUUAAGUGCUUGGAGAUUCAUUCGAAUGUAUUUAGGUGUAUUUAUUGUAUUUAAUCACAUAAAACAAUAUUGGAAUUCCUUUGUAUACAAAAUUACAUAUACAAAGAGUUAAAAUUUGGUACUUUAUUACUAGGAAGUAUAUGAACGGUAUUGGAAUUCGUUUGUAUACAAAAUUACAUAUACAGAGAGUUAUAUUUGGUACUUUAUUACUAGGAAGUAUAUUAUGUAAUCUUCAUUAAGUUGUCUGAUCUGUAUAAUUUUUUUUCCAGCUAUGCAUUAAUAUGUAUUUCAGAAGAUUGUGAUUGGAGGUUUAAGGCUUCAAACAUAAACAAAUCUGAAUUAUUCAAGGUGAGAGA
RNAcentral lists this long non-coding RNA (4660 nucleotides) under Nicotiana benthamiana. Its description in RNAcentral is "long non-coding RNA (NBEN_LNC015565)". Lineage: Eukaryota; Viridiplantae; Streptophyta; Magnoliopsida; Solanales; Solanaceae. The record is from RNAcentral.